RNAcentral lists this ribosomal RNA (617 nucleotides) under uncultured bacterium. RNAcentral describes it as "bacterial SSU rRNA". It matches the Rfam family "Bacterial small subunit ribosomal RNA", at positions 338 to 944 of the family's 1533-position model. The record is from RNAcentral.
CCUACGGGAGGCAGCAGUGAGGAAUUUUUCGCAAUGGGCGCAAGCCUGACGGAGCAAUACUGCGUGGAGGAUGAAGGCCCGUGGGCUGUAAACUCCUUUUCCCAAAAAAGAAGUUCUGACGGUAUUUGGGGAAUAAGCAUCAGCUAACUGCGUGCCAGCAGCUGCGGUAAUACGUGGGAUGCAAGCGUUAUCCGGAUUUAUUGGGCGUAAAGCGUCUGUAGGUGGCUUUGCAAGUUUGUUGUUAAAGAAUUCAGCUCAACUGGGUUUCAGCAUCAAAAACUACUAAGCUUGAGUCAAGUAGAGGAAAAGGGAAUUCCCUGUGGAGCGGUGAAAUGCGUAGAGAUAGGGAAGAACACCAAAGGCGAAGGCACUUUUCUGGGCAUUGACUGACACUGAGAGACGAAAGCUAGGGGAGCGAGUAGGAUUAGAUACCCUAUUAGUCCUAGCCGUAAACGAUGGAAACUACAUUUUGAUGAAAUCUUUUUAGCGUAAGUAAGAAGACAGGGGCAGAAUGGCAGCUAACGCGGUAAGUUUCCCGCCUGGGAAGUAUGCUCGCAAGAGUGAAACUCAAAGAGUAGUGCGUGNGAGAGCGACGACGACGACGACGGAGGAGGAGG